CGAUCCUGGGGGAGGGGGCUUCCAAAGAUCGAUCCAAAAUCGAGCAGACAGCGUUUGGAUCAUUAAGGUGCUCAUAACAGAAUAGAGCUGUCCCUGCGGUUUUUGAAACAGAAAAGUUUCUGUGGUUUUUAAAAAUAAUUUUCCAAGGAAUUCAUCUUUAUUCAUGUCCAUUUGUUCACUUCACAAGUAAUUCUUAAGUGCCUGUUGGCUACUAAGUGUUAUCCUGUUGCUGUAGAAUACAAACGUUCCAAAACCAGGCUCUGCACCCCGGGAGUUUGUUGUUACCACUGUCCUUUGUAUUAUUUACUCUAUUUAGUGCUUACCAGGUGCCAGAGUCUCGUAGAGCUUAUAAUGAUCAUUGUUAUUUUGUAUUGGCAUUUGUUCCAGUCACCGUAAGUUCCCGGUGAGGAAUCCGAGUUUUCAAAGACUGGGUAGAAUCUACGGAGGAGAUAAGAAUGCUGAGGAAGACUCUAUAACCAGGCUUUCUGACAAACCUGGUCCUGAUGAUUCAUGGGCUACAUCAGCUAGCCAAGACUUAGAUUUUGGUACCAAGAAUGUCCCGAAACCACGCGUAGCAAAGCUACUGCAUUCUUCUUGGCAAUUCGUGAAAAACAAGAGCAAAACGUGGCACUGUGAAACCAGAAGGGGGAACGUUAUCUGAGGACAACAGUCCUGAUUCUGAAAAUAAAGAUAUGGCUGAAACUCUUUCCAAACCACCAGUCAGAGUUUAUGGCGUGCCUCUUCCUGUUUUACCAUCAUCUAAAUCUCUUCUGAAACCUUCUCUCAAGAUUUUAGCUGUCCUUGGUCUUGCAAAGGAACCAGGCAAUGAUAUCACCUCAUCUCUCAGAGAUUCCAACAAGCAAUCCAUCAAGAAGACCAAGUUAUGUCCUCUGGUCACAGAUGGGUAAACUGAGGCUUAAUAGCACAGCCUGGGGUCACUAGUAAGACAAGCUAGGUGAGGCUCCCCACUGCCUUGACUUUGGAUUGUCCUAACCUCAGGCCUGCACCUCAUCAUUCUGGAACUCAGGUCCCUCCUCCUUGGGCACCCCAUCCUCCUGCCAUAAGGUCCCUCUGAACACAGGGGAGCAGAGCUAACCCAUCUGCCUGGGACCUGACAUGGUGGCUGGGGAAGGGAGGACCCUGGGCUCUGUAGGCUAUCCGUGUACUGGACCACCUGGGCUCUGUGGUCUCUCCCAGCAACAGACCGGCUGGGGUCCAUGGACUCUCCUGGUACUGGACAGCUGCUCCCUCAGGUCAGGACUUCUCACUGUGGAUCUCCUGGGGCUUGGUUUCCUUAUUUUGUCACCUGGGCUGCUGUCCCCAGACCAUAAACCUGGCCAUCUGAGGGUGACCAGCACUGCCCCCUUAGGGUUUCAUUUUCCGGAAGUCCUGCCAGGAACAUCCCACAUCUCUGACAACUGCUCUCCAUGGAGGUCGCCUCCCCUUGGACUUGCAUGUAUUUGCUCUUCAUCCCAGGAACACCAUGACUUUGGAGCAUUUUGGGAACAGAGGCCUGUGAAACCUGUCUCUGGACUUGGGCUGUGAGGAAUGAUUUCCCCCCUGUGGUGUCCCUGCCCAGCUUCCUGCAUUCCUCUCUUUCUGUUUUUGCCACAGGAGGAACAGCCAUGUUCUGUCUGGCAUCAGGCUGUGGUGUCACAGAAGGAACAUGGGUCUCUACCCCAAGGUUAUGACCAUUUAUACCAAAGGAGUCUCAUUUUUUCACGUUUUUCCAAUUUUUAAUCCAUUGUGGAUUUCAAUAUCAAAUGAGAAAAAAUCUAUUUCAAAUAUACACAAAAUACAAAAGUUAAUCUGUUCCAUCUUAGAAUGUGUGGGCAGAGACAAAGACAUCUAUUGCGAGGUUCCAGGUAUAGGAAACAUCCAGAGUAGGUAAGGAAAAGAGAGAGAAUGGAGAUUAGUGGUUCCCAGAGGCUGGGGGUGGGGGUGGGGGGCAAUGGGGAAUGAGGGCUCUGGGUACAUGGUGUCCCUUGGGGACUGAGAUAUUCUGCAACAAUAUUGUGUGCUGUGGUUGCAGAGGGUUGUGAGUGUACUCAAUGCCCAGGAAUUGUACAAUUUCAAUCAUGUAAACAACUUUUUAAAUUAAUAAUAAAGACUAUACAAAACACAAAA
This is a long non-coding RNA of Felis catus (domestic cat), 2127 nucleotides long. RefSeq lists it as uncharacterized. Lineage: Eukaryota; Metazoa; Chordata; Mammalia; Carnivora; Felidae. The record is from RefSeq and is a predicted model, not a curated record. The transcript is spliced from 6 exons.